This is a long non-coding RNA of Tachysurus fulvidraco (yellow catfish), 356 nucleotides long. RefSeq lists it as uncharacterized. NCBI's taxonomy places the organism in Eukaryota, Metazoa, Chordata, Actinopteri, Siluriformes, Bagridae. The transcript is spliced from 3 exons. The record is from RefSeq and is a predicted model, not a curated record.
CUAGUUUUCUUAAAUUCAUUGAAGGCUUCUACUUUGUGAUACACUCUGAACCAAUCUACAGCAGACCACAAGUGUUUUUAAUCAAUAGAGUUCAGUGGAGGCCCCAGGGGAUCGAGGCACGGUGGCUGACGGCGCUGUGUGGCCUCUCAAAGCUAUGUGUGGUCCUGAACACCAGAGGCAUAUUUCACUAUGGAAAUGUCACCUCCGAGUGGAGCAUGUGAGAACUGCAGAGCCACAGCUGUACUGUCUAGCCUGCUUGAUUUGAGUCAUUUUGACAUGUGCUGUAGAAUAACAUCUCCAACAAGCAGCCACACAUGUGAAGGUCUGUGUUAAGUUUUUCAUAUCAACAUAAAUGA